Molecule: ribosomal RNA, 253 nt
Filed under: uncultured bacterium
Lineage: Bacteria
Description: partial 16S ribosomal RNA
Rfam family: Bacterial small subunit ribosomal RNA
Source: RNAcentral
UACGAAGGGAGCUAGCGUUGUUCGGAAUUACUGGGCGUAAAGGGCUCGUAGGUGGCCAACUAAGUCAGACGUGAAAUCCCUCGGCUUAACCGGGGAACUGCGUCUGAUACUGGAUGGCUUGAGUUUGGGAGAGGGACGCGGAAUUCCAGGUGUAGCGGUGAAAUGCGUAGAUAUCUGGAGGAACACCGGUGGCGAAGGCGGCGUCCUGGACCAACACUGACACUGAUGAGCGAAAGCCAGGGGAGCAAACGGG